RNAcentral lists this ribosomal RNA (251 nucleotides) under uncultured bacterium. RNAcentral describes it as "partial 16S ribosomal RNA". It matches the Rfam family "Bacterial small subunit ribosomal RNA", at positions 524 to 776 of the family's 1533-position model. The record is from RNAcentral.
GACAGAGGAUGCAAGCGUUAUCCGGAAUUAUUGGCGUAAAGAGCUUGUAGGCGGUUUGUCGCGUCUGCUGUGAAAAUCCGGGGCUCAACCCCGGACUUGCAGUGGGUACGGCAGACUAGAGUGUGGUAGGGGAGACUGGAAUUCCUGGUGUAGCGGUGGAAUGCGCAGAUAUCAGGAGGAACACCGAUGGCGAAGGCAGGUCUCUGGGCCACUACUGACGCUGAGAAGCGAAAGCAUGGGGAGCGAACAGG